UUUCAAAGUUAAUAUUGUAUAUUUUGAUAUUUUGUUCAAAAAUGUUAAGAGGCCUUUUACCUUUCUUUCACUAAGAUAUCUUGUACAAAAUAUUAGACAAAUUAAACAAUAACUAAAAUAUAUAAAGUAAUCACCAAAGUUUUAAAUUGGAUAAGAUGAAGAAGAAUAGUAGUUUAUAUAAUGGAGAAUUUCAAUUUGUAAUAAUAUUUCAAAAAAUUAUUUUAGUCUAGUUGUUAGUGUGCCCC
RNAcentral lists this long non-coding RNA (245 nucleotides) under Brassica rapa (field mustard). Its description in RNAcentral is "long non-coding RNA (BRAP_LNC003908)". The record is from RNAcentral. Lineage: Eukaryota; Viridiplantae; Streptophyta; Magnoliopsida; Brassicales; Brassicaceae.